RNAcentral lists this ribosomal RNA (257 nucleotides) under uncultured bacterium. RNAcentral's name for it is "partial 16S ribosomal RNA". It matches the Rfam family "Bacterial small subunit ribosomal RNA", at positions 97 to 348 of the family's 1533-position model. The record is from RNAcentral.
GGCGGACGGGUGAGUAAUGUCUGGGAAACUGCCUGAUGGAGGGGGAGUAACUACUGGAAACGGUAGCUAAUACCGCAUAACGUCGCAAGACCAAAGAGGGGGACCUUCGGGCCUCUUGCCAUCGGAUGUGCCCAGAUGGGAUUAGCUAGUAGGUGGGGUAACGGCUCACCUAGGCGACGAUCCCUAGCUGGUCUGAGAGGAUGACCAGCCACACUGGAACUGAGACACGGUCCAGACUCCUACGGGAGGGCAGCAUG